GACGAACGCUGGCGGCGUGCCUAAUACAUGCAAGUCGAACGAACCGCGACUAAGUGCUUGCACUAAGUCAAGGUGAGUGGCGAACGGGUGAGUAACACGUGGGUAACCUACCUCAUAGUGGGGGAUAACAGUCGGAAACGACUGCUAAUACCGCAUAGGACAUAGGAUCACAUGAUCCAGUGAGGAAAGGUGGCGCAAGCUAUCGCUAAGAGAUGGACCCGCGGUGCACUAGCUAGUUGGUAGGGUAAAGGCCUACCAAGGCGAUGAUGCAUAGCCGACCUGAGAGGGUGAUCGGCCACAUUGGGACUGAGACACGGCCCAAACUCCUACGGGAGGCAGCAGUAGGGAAUCUUCCGCAAUGGACGCAAGUCUGACGGAGCAACGCCGCGUGAGUGAAGAAGGUCUUCGGAUCGUAAAGCUCUGUUGUUAGAGAAGAACAGCGCAUAGAGUAACUGCUAUGCGUGUGACGGUAUCUAACCAGAAAGCCACGGCUAACUACGUG
RNAcentral lists this ribosomal RNA (502 nucleotides) under uncultured bacterium. RNAcentral describes it as "partial 16S ribosomal RNA". It matches the Rfam family "Bacterial small subunit ribosomal RNA", at positions 28 to 507 of the family's 1533-position model. The record is from RNAcentral.